RNAcentral lists this ribosomal RNA (891 nucleotides) under uncultured Bacillota bacterium. RNAcentral's name for it is "bacterial SSU rRNA". It matches the Rfam family "Bacterial small subunit ribosomal RNA", at positions 12 to 916 of the family's 1533-position model. The record is from RNAcentral. Lineage: Bacteria; Bacillati; Bacillota.
UUUGAUUAUGGCUCAGGACGAACGCUGGCGGCGCGCCUAACACAUGCAAGUCGAACGAGCAAAGAGGAGCUUGCUUCUCUGAGCGAGUGGCGAACGGGUGAGUAACGCGUGAGGAACCUGCCUCAAAGAGGGGGACAACAGUUGGAAACGACUGCUAAUACCGCAUAAGCCCACGGGUCGGCAUCGACCAGAGGGAAAAGGAGCAAUCCGCUUUGAGAUGGCCUCGCGUCCGAUUAGCUAGUUGGUGAGGUAAUGGCCCACCAAGGCGACGAUCGGUAGCCGGACUGAGAGGUUGAACGGCCACAUUGGGACUGAGACACGGCCCAGACUCCUACGGGAGGCAGCAGUGGGGGAUAUUGCACAAUGGGGGAAACCCUGAUGCAGCGACGCCGCGUGGAGGAAGAAGGUCUUCGGAUUGUAAACUCCUGUUGUUGAGGAAGGUAAUGACGGUACUCAACAAGGAAGUGACGGCUAACUACGUGCCAGCAGCCGCGGUAAAACGUAGGUCACAAGCGUUGUCCGGAAUUACUGGGUGUAAAGGGAGCGCAGGCGGGAAGACAAGUUGGAAGUGAAAUCCAUGGGCUCAACCCAUGAACUGCUUUCAAAACUGUUUUUCUUGAGUAGUGCAGAGGUAGGCGGAAUUCCCGGUGUAGCGGUGGAAUGCGUAGAUAUCGGGAGGAACACCAGUGGCGAAGGCGGCCUACUGGGCACCAACUGACGCUGAGGCUCGAAAGUGUGGGUAGCAAACAGGAUUAGAUACCCUGGUAGUCCACACCGUAAACGAUGAUUACUAGGUGUUGGAGGAUUGACCCCUUCAGUGCCGCAGUUAACACAAUAAGUAAUCCACCUGGGGAGUACGACCGCAAGGUUGCAACUCAAAUGAAUUGACGG